CUGACAUGGUAAUUAUAUACAUUUUCAACCCCAUCUUUUAUUUGUACGCCCAGCUUUUUUUGUAUGUGUUGACUUGUAUGUAAGACACUAUGAAGCAUAUUAAUGUUGGGAGUGUCAAAAACAUUUAUAUAAUUUACAAAUUCUUCAGAUACAUGAAUUUAGGAAUGGUUGAAACCAAUUAAGGAUAAUGGAAUUUUUAAAAUAGAAAGCUGUUUUGCAUUUUGCAACCAGUAUCCAGGGAAGAAAAGGUAAUAAAAUUAAAAGGGGGAUAGUAAGAUGAACAUGAUAUUUUGCUCAUGUAGUCAAUACUUGACGUCCAUUCCUACAUUCUUCUCUUAGACGAGUUCUCUUUUUUUGUCGAGGAAUAAAAAUAUGUACAUGUUGUGUUAUAUGUUGACAUCAAUGCGUUGAAUAAGCUGAGACUUUGUUACAGCCGAUCCAUCCAGAAGGUGGUGAAUUAUUCACUGUUUGGUUGGCAGGAGGCCUAGGUGGGGAUGAAAGGCCUGGCUUCCACCCCAGUAGGGCUGAGGGAUGGGAGGGAAACAGCUCGCUGUGCCUGCCCUCCAUCACUCCUAGCACCGAGGUAGCUUAGCAUAGUUAGUGGUCUAACAGCAGUUUGUUCAUUAACGGUCCCUUGCUGGGUGACAACAUCCAGUCAGUGUCAAUUAGACAGUAGCAGUUGAACAGGUGGGAAUGUGCCUGCUGGGAGGAGAAGAAUCAUUAGGAUGAGCGAUGAAAGCCAUAAAGCACAGCAGCUUCAUCUGAGGUUAGCGACUGAUGUGAUGAGCCAUGGUCAUUGGCACAGCAAAGACAACACUGCUUCAUGAACAAUUUUGGUCAUGCACUGAAAGAGUAGCAGAGUGGGAGGAGAAGCUGGUUCCACGUUGUCUUCCUCACCGUAAACUCUUGUUUCAAUUUAUUUUUAUAUUUUCAAUGUUCCUCAACAUAGAAAGACAGAAGUCCCACGGGAUGAAAAGAUUGCAACUUUGCACAAAAAUGUACAUCUGGUAUGCCUUGUAGCUCUAAAUGCUAUGUUACCCAUGAGCUUCUGUCGUGGUUGCUGUAGUAAAUUCAUUUAAGC
Molecule: long non-coding RNA, 1081 nt
Filed under: Dicentrarchus labrax (European seabass)
Lineage: Eukaryota; Metazoa; Chordata; Actinopteri; Moronidae
Description: lncRNA (ENSDLAG00005030835.1)
Source: RNAcentral